This is a long non-coding RNA of Macadamia integrifolia, 1697 nucleotides long. RefSeq lists it as uncharacterized. Lineage: Eukaryota; Viridiplantae; Streptophyta; Magnoliopsida; Proteales; Proteaceae. The transcript is spliced from 2 exons. The record is from RefSeq and is a predicted model, not a curated record.
UGAUCCAAUUCGAAGUUGUUGAUGUUUAUACCGAUCGAUCAUAGAAGAAAUAUGAUUCAUUCCAAUCAGGAUUUCAGAUCACACGUGCGCAAACCAAACCAAAAAAAAAAGUAUCUCAGAACUACAAGAUUCUGAACCUAUAAUAGAAUCCUAGGUUGAUAAUCUGCAAGACCAAUGAAAGCUGCAUUGGAUUACACCCCUGAACUUAUCAAUGUCAACUCCAUUGUCCUUAAGAAAAGAUAGGAAGUUGUAAAAACUAUCAUCUGUUGGGCGACAUUGUUUAUUGAAUUUUUCCUCGCCUAUGUAGAUGUUAUUUAUUGAAUUUUUCCUCGCCUGUGUAGGAUUUUCAAGGAAGUUGUCUUUCGCUAGAGUGGGUUAAGAUCUAUUGAUUGUUUAUUUUGUUGCCCUCUUUUAUAAAAUAGGUUUAGAGCAUAUCCUGUCCGAAACCUUUGUUUCAAUCUCUUUUUGUAUUUGAGAUUCUAAACUUAUGUUUCAAUCUCUCUUUGUAUAUGCAACUCUUGGUGAUCUAACAAGGACAUAUCUACUUGCAGUAUGUUUUUAUAACUUUUGUCCAUUCAAUACAUGGUGAUCGGUUGAUAAACACUGGUAUGUAAAUCUUGUAAUCCUUCACAUAUCUUUUUUGAUGUUAAGAAGUUUAUUUCCCCUCUCCUCUUUUUCUAGAUUUGUUUCCUGCACGGAUAUGUUUUAGUUUUUGCCCUUCUGAUAUUGUAUUUUCUUUGACACCCUAUUACUAUGUGCAACUAUGAAGUUCCUUUUUCUUCUUUAUCCUUUUUCUCUUAUACGUUUUUAAUUUGAUUAUUAUGUUGUCUAUUUGAGGUUGAGACAUGAAGGGUAGAGACAAGUUUUUAUGUUGUUUCUCUUAAAUAUGUUUUUCUGAUUUUACAAGAUUGAAGAUAAGAUCAGUGCAAUUCUGAAUGGGUUAUCUACUGAUUUGGAUUUGCUAAGAAUUUUUUCCCCUAUCCCCUUUCUGGAAUUAUUUCCUGUAUAUAUAUAUAUAUAUAUAUAUAUUUGGGUGGGGUUUCUGAUGUUGUACCUUCUUUGUAUCCCUAUUAGAAUGUGCGGCUAUGAUGUUCCUUUUUCUUCUUUAUCCUUUUUAAUGGGAGCAAUUAUAUGGUUUAAGCAAGAGGAAUCGGUCUCAGAGAUGUAACGUUGUAGCAACGUAGAUAAAUUUGAGUUCCAAGGCAUUGGAUAAGAUUAGUUUCCUUUUACACACAAAAAAGGAGAUUUUCGAUGAAGGUAAUAACACAAAGCUUAAGAUCCUGGUUAGUGAAUGACUCCAAUGAAACAAUGAAAAUAUUAUGAACUUGAUGAUUUUUCGAUGUUCCUGGUGUUUUGAUUACUUUUGACUAAUUCCAAACCUUACUUUCCAAAUCAAAUCAUAAGACAUGCAGGCAGCAGUGAAGGAGUCUGCAUCACCAAUUCUUCUCUUGACCCUCCUAUAGCUGAAACGAAAGUGAAUAUUUGUGGGGUUCACUGUGUCCAAGGAUGACCAAGUGAUGGUGAAUGCAUGGGUUAUUGAGCGAGAUACUACCAUAUGCCUAAUGGAAGUUGUGUUUAUGAUGCCUGAAGGAAGUUAUUAUGGUUUUGAGAAGAUUUGUGAUAUCUGUGAAGGUUUUUGUUGCCAAUACUGUUCUCUUUAUUUUUCUAAUAAAAUUUAUAUUUGCGUUUUGAAAUUA